GUACGUGUAGCUCAGCGAGUUCCAGAGCGCGAUCCUGCCGAGAUCGAGGUCGCGGGUGCAAAUCCCGUCACGUACU
This 76-nucleotide transfer RNA is filed under the name Myxococcales bacterium. RNAcentral describes it as "tRNA-Gly". It matches the Rfam family "tRNA". Rfam says of the family: Transfer RNA (tRNA) molecules are approximately 80 nucleotides in length. Their secondary structure includes four short double-helical elements and three loops (D, anti-codon, and T loops). Further hydrogen bonds mediate the characteristic L-shaped molecular structure. tRNAs have two regions of fundamental functional importance: the anti-codon, which is responsible for specific mRNA codon recognition, and the 3' end, to which the tRNAs corresponding amino acid is attached (by aminoacyl-tRNA synthetases). tRNAs cope with the degeneracy of the genetic code in two manners: having more than one tRNA (with a specific anti-codon) for a particular amino acid; and 'wobble' base-pairing, i.e. permitting non-standard base-pairing at the 3rd anti-codon position. Lineage: Bacteria; Pseudomonadati; Myxococcota; Myxococcia; Myxococcales. The record is from RNAcentral.